ACCCUCCAGUUUCUUUACUCAUCAGAUCUAAACACUGGUCUGAGCAGUUAAAAAAGGAGGAAAAGUGAAAUUGAAACUGACUUCAAUCCUUUUGUGGCCCACGAGCUAGUUUCAAACUAUG
This is a small nucleolar RNA of Echinops telfairi (small Madagascar hedgehog), 121 nucleotides long. RefSeq annotates it as small nucleolar RNA SNORA61. The transcript has a single exon. NCBI's taxonomy places the organism in Eukaryota, Metazoa, Chordata, Mammalia, Afrosoricida, Tenrecidae. The record is from RefSeq and is a predicted model, not a curated record.